RNAcentral lists this ribosomal RNA (310 nucleotides) under Xanthomonas citri pv. malvacearum. RNAcentral describes it as "bacterial SSU rRNA". It matches the Rfam family "Bacterial small subunit ribosomal RNA", at positions 211 to 513 of the family's 1533-position model. The record is from RNAcentral. Lineage: Bacteria; Pseudomonadati; Pseudomonadota; Gammaproteobacteria; Lysobacterales; Lysobacteraceae.
CUUCGCGCGGUUGAAUGAGCCGAUGUCGGAUUAGCUAGUUGGCGGGGUAAAGGCCCACCAAGGCGACGAUCCGUAGCUGGUCUGAGAGGAUGAUCAGCCACACUGGAACUGAGACACGGUCCAGACUCCUACGGGAGGCAGCAGUGGGGAAUAUUGGACAAUGGGCGCAAGCCUGAUCCAGCCAUGCCGCGUGGGUGAAGAAGGCCUUCGGGUUGUAAAGCCCUUUUGUUGGGAAAGAAAAGCAGUCGGUUAAUACCCGAUUGUUCUGACGGUACCCAAAGAAUAAGCACCGGCUAACUUCGUGCCAGCA